This is a long non-coding RNA of Dromaius novaehollandiae (emu), 4337 nucleotides long. RefSeq lists it as uncharacterized. Lineage: Eukaryota; Metazoa; Chordata; Aves; Casuariiformes; Dromaiidae. The transcript has 2 exons. The record is from RefSeq and is a predicted model, not a curated record.
GGUGAAGGCUGUGGCUGUCCUGUUCUGGAAGCAGCUGAUGGACAGAGAAAAUGUCUGAAGAUGUGUACAUUCCAGAGGAUGAAGUGGACACUUAGAUUACACCAGCUGGCUCAAAUAGCUUGUUAAAGACAUAGAUUGUACAUACAACAAAAUGGAGUUUAUAUGGACCUAACUUAUUUGCGUUACAGUGUAAUGGAAUAAAUACAGUUUGAAUCAAUAUGUAUUGUUUUAAAGUCUUUACAUAUGUAUAAUUUAGUAUUUCUUUUAUUGCAGAAAGGAUAACGAGUUUCUUUUCUCUAAAUUUGGUGAAGUUUAACCUCCUUAUUUAUCCUCAUUAUGAUGAUUUUUCAGUGACCAUGCCCAGGGUCCUAUCGCAUGUGGAAGACCAGAGUUCUUGUCCAAAGUGCCAGCAUCUUCGUUGGCCUCAUCGUGUGGGAGUGACACCAGACUGGCUUGUGUCGUGUCUGAGGAGGGUGUCUGUGAAGAAGGGAUUGUCCUCACCGCAGGACUGAAGAGAUGGGCUGGAGUACUGUUUCUCCUCUCUCCAGCCUGGCUUACGUGGAUUACUAGCAAAGCAUCAGGAGGUUAGGAUGGGCUAGGAGCUAUAUGGUGUCUUGCCUUGUGCGUACCUCACUCACUCUGUCGUACUGACCACAAGAAUUGGUAGUGCUUUUACCUUUGAGGCAUAGUUCCUGCAUUCUUUUUUAAAUUGCUUUGCCAUUCAUUGUGUCCAGCCAGAGUUAGAAGGUGAGUUACAACCUGGUAUGACUGGAUAAUCCUGCUGGGCAGUAACUCUUCAGCCUGCGGUUGUGACAGCCAGUUCAGCAUAGCAUCUCUUGCAGGCUCCAUCUCUGACAAAUUUAUCUUUCUCCCUCACACCCUAGGACAGUCCUUGAAAGCAGAGAAUAAAGGGAGGUUUGGUCAGAAGAAGGCUAAGGAGUAGGAAAAGCAGCCAAGGUUUUAGAAGUGAAAAGAAGUAAGAAAAAGUUAGAAGUAAGAAAAAGACGUGCGCAUCAGGCAAGGAGCGGCAGACUGCUGUGCUGCUGUGAUAUUUAGUGUGUGAUGCUGAGGGAGUCUUGUGAGUUGGGUGGGUUUUGUGGUCUUGGUGCGUGGUAGUAUGGUGUGAAGAGACUUGUGCUGUGUGUUGUCAUAGUCACUAGUAGGAGAGAAUAAAGCAAGAUAUUUGGCUUUCAAUGUAAACAGUUUAAUCUACAGUGGAACCUAACAUUUUACUCCAAAACCUCUUCAAGGAUUGGCAAAUCAUGAAGUAGGGAUUUGGAAUUUGGAACAAAUACUUGGUUCUGCUACAAAUUCCUGGAGUGGAUGUAGUCAGCAUAAAGUCACUGUAAUGUAUGUCAUUACAGUUACAAAAAAAGGUACAUGUUUUUGUCUUGAAAUAAUUGAUCAGCAAAAGUCACAUUAACCUAAAACCUAUGGCUUUUGCACAUGUCAAAAACUUUGCAAACCCAAAUGAUGUUCAUCAUUUUCUUACAGCAGGUCCCUGUAUUGGCAUGUAUAAAACCAGUGCAUCUUAUCUUUGUACAGCUGUCUUAUGAAAUGGCUGUAGGUGAUAAAGUGUUUCUUAAAAUGUAUUUUUAUUGCAUCAUGGUUUAAUUGAAACAGAGCUCUAAUACAUUGCUUUUUAACAGGAAAAAUUCCUGAAACAGAAACUGCAUGCCCUAGAUAUUUUGGGGAAUAUCUCGUUACAGACUUGGAAUUUAAGCUAUGAUGACACUCAUGAUAAAUUUUGGAAAUAAAGCUCAUUACAUCUUUUCUUACCACAGGAGUAAACACCACAUCCUGGUUAAAUGUCAUAUGACUAAUUUAAUUUUUACAAGUGACUAGCUAAUUGCAAUUUCUAAAUACUUUUCCAUGAUGAUGUGCGAUACAAAAACAACUUCUUGAUUCAGCUUGUGAGUUACAUGCAUUGUUUCUUGCUUAUACUUAUGUUAGUUCAGGAUUAGGAGAUGGAUAAGCCAAAGGGGAUGCUUAUCUAGGGAAAAAGGAAAUUUAUAUUUUUUCUGAUUAAGAAAUCAAUUCUGUAUUUUUAUUAAAAAUAAAUUAAGAAGUUCAAGUAGCAGUCAUCAACUUGGAAGAUGAGAUAAAUGGAAAUUUUCAUUUAAGUUCUAAUUUUCUUUCUCAGGAUCCACUUUAUUCUUGUAGAGACCCCCAAAUGGUGCAAUUAAUAACUGUGCAACUGGAAAGCAGUCCCCUUUAUAGCAAGAUUGGAAGAUUGCCUAUACAUCUCCCUUUUUCCUAAAUGGUCUUUCUUCGAACAAUUUCCUUUUUUACAGCCCUACCCCAGGGCACUGAGCCCUCUGGUUAGGAGGGGUAUAGCUCUUGCAAUCUGGGGAGCAUCUUUGAACUUCAUUAUAUUUGUUAACACGUGCUAAUGUGGGAUUCACAGGUGUAGUCAAGAUAUGGUCCCUCCUCCCUCUGUGUCUCUUCAGAAAUUAUUGCUAGAAGUGGAAGAGGAGGCAAGGACCGUUGCUAGGCAGCAGUGAGCUGAGGACUGGACUUCCAGUUUCCCUUAGGUGAUUUUACUUUUGUGUAUGUGUAACAGCUCUAAGUGAUUUUCAGGUAAUAAAAUGUUAAUAUAAUUUGCCUAUAUGUUGUAUUGUGCCUCUUUGUAUGGUGCAGAAUUUCAAACCUUAUUUAUUAAUGCAUGCUUUGAAGAGAUAAAGAAAUAAAUAAUCAUGCAUAGUUGCUCUUAUUGAAACUGGUUAGAAUUUGGCAUUGAGUACAGUAGAAACAAAGUAAAAUUUUGUAACUUCUGUGUUAGGUAAGCACUGUCUGAUAGUAAAACCUAUGGUAGGGCAAAUCCAAUCUUUAGGUUUUCUGACUUCAAAGAUUAAUGUUUGAUGUUUUUUGCAUAUAGGUUUUCUAAUGAAAGAUUGAAUCUUCUUAGGUUCUGGUCACUUACCAGAAGUUCCGAUUGCAAAAUUUCCAUACUGUGUUAUGUGAUGACCCCAAAAGUUUAAAAGUUAGUGUUGACAGUAAACUGAGAUUUGGUUAAAUACAAAGAGACUACAGAAAUUCACUAAUUUGGUUAAGAGCUGGGGGGAGAUGAUUGGAGUUGGAGCCUGCGAAGUUUGCAUUUUUCCCCUUAUUACCAGGAAGAAGACAGAAAUUCACUCAGAAUCUGAAAUUGUUAUCUGAUCAUUUGACCUCAGAAGCUAGAUUUUUAAGAAAAUUCCCCACCAAAUAUCACAGGCUUAUAACAAUACAUGUUUGGCAACACUUUUAGAUCAUUAGGAUCUGACUUUGGUAUAUGCUGUUGUAUAUUUACCUUUGCUCUGUUUUAUCUUUUAAAUUGGAUACUGAACAAAUAUUAGUCACAAGUAACAGUUGCAAACUUUGGGGUGAUGUUGCACAAUAUAACUAAGCCAAUCUGACGGCACACUACUGCUGAGAGAAGUGAUCCUGCUUCCCUUGCUUUGCACAUGGUGUAAGUCUUCCCUCUCUGUAGCAUCAGGUCUGUCUUGCUAAUCUCAGUAACCAUUGAUCAUUACUGAAAUCAGUGAAGGUGCCAAAAAUGGAGAGUUUUUUUCAAGUGUCUCUUGUUCUUUCUGCCAAAAUUAGAUCUUUACAUCAGUAUGUAGGCUAACUGGGCAGGGAAUGAUACUGCAGACUGGGAAGUAGAUCAGGACUGGUAUUUUUUCUUACUUUUUUUUUUAUAUACCCAAGUAUUAGGUUGUAUUUUGUCCUUUCAAAGGUUUCCACCCCGCCCCGAACAUUUAGUGGUGUGUUCACAGCAUUGGGGCAUGUUUUCUCUCUCUUGCUCCUUUGACACUGUCUCAGUCCUAUGGGCUUUUUGUCGCAUACUGUGGAUUUUACACAUGCUUUUUAACUUACCUUUCCCUACCGUCUUCCUGCAUUGGGAAAGCUAAUUCAAGAUAAAGGGAAUCUGUAAUCUGUGGAGCAUUUGAAAAAUUCUGUGUAAAGUUAAUGAGCAGAAGAGAUUCAGUGCAAACAGAGAGGAAUGCUAGCUGGAUUCAGAAUAUGUCAUGAAGAUGCUAGUCCUGUACAUCAGCAGCCAAAAGAGACAGUACUGGGCAGUUUAGUUUCCUGGUUUUCAUAGGCAAUUAUUAGCAAUUGUGUGGGGUUUUUUUUGUUUUUUGUUUUUUUUUUUCUUUUUUGCUUUGCUUGGUAUUAAUGAGUUAGCUGUCAGUUGUGAGAAGCUCUAUUUAAUAGAAAUGUUAAGGUAUUUGUUGCUAAAAAUAGUAUAGUUAUUUUUCAGGGAUUGAUUGUUAGAGUUUGGAACGCUCAUUUUUACUGUUCUAGUUCUGUAUGUGUUCGCACUGGUCUGACAACUAAUAAAUGUCUGUGUACGUUCA